This 478-nucleotide ribosomal RNA is filed under the name uncultured bacterium. RNAcentral describes it as "partial 16S ribosomal RNA". It matches the Rfam family "Bacterial small subunit ribosomal RNA", at positions 28 to 523 of the family's 1533-position model. The record is from RNAcentral.
GACGAACGCUGGCGGCGUGCUUAACACAUGCAAGUCGAACGGUAAGGCCCUUCGGGGUACACGAGUGGCGAACGGGUGAGUAACACGUGGGUGAUCUGCCCUGCACUUCGGGAUAAGCCUGGGAAACUGGGUCUAAUACCGGAUAGGACCACUGCCUGCAUGGGUGGUGGUGGAAAGCUUUUGCGGUGUGGGAUGGGCCCGCGGCCUAUCAGCGUGUUGGUGGGGUGAUGGCCUAACAAGGCGACGACGGGUAGCCGGCCUGAGAGGGUGACCGGCGACACUGGGACUGGGAUACGGCCCAGACUCCUACGGGAGGCAGCAGUGGGGAAUAUUGCACAAUGGGCGCAAGCCUGAUGCAGCGACGCCGCGUGAGGGAUGACGGCCUUCGGGUUGUAAACCUCUUUCAGCACCGACGAAGCGCAAGUGACGGUAGGUGCAGAAGAAGGACCGGCCAACUACGUGCCAGCCGCCGCCGUAA